This is a ribosomal RNA of Pteropus vampyrus (large flying fox), 133 nucleotides long. The record is from Ensembl. Lineage: Eukaryota; Metazoa; Chordata; Mammalia; Chiroptera; Pteropodidae.
CAUCAUGGUUACUUCUUUGACCUGCGAGUUAUGUAGAAAUGUGUUUCCAAAUUUCUAAAUGUUAAGCUAAGCAGGGUCAGGCCUGGUUAGUACUUGGAUGGGAGACCACCUAGGAAGACCAGGUGCUGUAGGC